AGGUCACCUGAAGUUUGGCUGAUGUCGGCUGGACUGGAUUCCAGGUUGCAGGCAUCUAAUUCUGCCACUUCUUGGGACUGACUGAGUAAUGACAGAAAAGAAAUAACAUAGGAGACAGAAAGAACACUAAACUUCCAAGAGGAGUAGAGAUAUACCAGGGGAAGAAUAAUUCCUAGUACUUUUGGAAGACUUCUCUUAUUAUCAGUGUCUCAGGCCAAUUAAAUGUCAUGGAACUUCUGAUAGCCACGAUUUCUGAAAGAAAUGGAGUGGCACCUAUGCAUUCAAGAAUUUCUCUUCCAAGGCUCUCCUUUUUAUCAGGUUCUGUUUAAUUGUCCCCGGGUACUCCCAAUGGCCUC
Molecule: long non-coding RNA, 356 nt
Organism: Balaenoptera ricei (Rice's whale)
Lineage: Eukaryota; Metazoa; Chordata; Mammalia; Artiodactyla; Balaenopteridae
Exons: 3
Source: RefSeq, a predicted model, not a curated record